CAGUCGCGGUAACACGUAGAAGACUAGUGUUAUUCAUCUUUAAUAGGUUUAAAGGGUACCUAGACGGAAAAUCAAGCCAUAUUAGGUACUAAUUUUCUAGAGUUUUAUGCGAGAAGAUAGAAUUUUCAGAGGAGAGAUGAUAUUUGGUGAUACUGGAAAGACUGGUAACGGCGAAGGCAACCUUCUAUGUAAAAACUGACGUUGAGGGACGAAGCCUUGGGUAACAAGUAGGAUUUGAUACCCUAGUAGUCCUUGGAGACAAUUAUGAAUGUCAUAGGCUAGAUCAAUUUAGUCUAUAAAUGAAAGUGUAAGCAUUCCACCUCAUGAGUAAAGCGGCAACGCCCAAAUUGAAAUCAUUAGACCGUAUCUGAAACCAGUAGUGAAGUAUGUUAUUUAAUUCGAUGGUCCGCGAAUAACCUUACCACGCUUUGAAUAUUAUUUUAUUAUUACAAGUGCUGCACGGCUGUUUUUAGUUAAUGUCGUGAGAUUUUGGUUAACUCCUAUAAUUAACGCAAACCCUUGCUUUAUUUAUUUUUAUAAAGUAGUUCUCCGUUUAUAUUGGAUAGAUAAAAGGGACUAAUACAAGUCAUCAUGG
RNAcentral lists this ribosomal RNA (595 nucleotides) under Muellerella sp. (in: ascomycete fungi). RNAcentral's name for it is "SSU rRNA". It matches the Rfam family "Bacterial small subunit ribosomal RNA", at positions 512 to 1198 of the family's 1533-position model. The record is from RNAcentral. Lineage: Eukaryota; Fungi; Ascomycota; Eurotiomycetes; Verrucariales; Verrucariaceae.